GGAUGAGCCCGCGGCCUAUCAGCUUGUUGGUGGGGUGAUGGCCUACCAAGGCGACGACGGGUAGCCGGCCUGAGAGGGUGACCGGCCACACUGGGACUGAGAUACGGCCCAGACUCCUACGGGAGGCAGCAGUGGGGAAUAUUGCACAAUGGGCGCAAGCCUGAUGCAGCGACGCCGCGUGAGGGAUGACGGCCUUCGGGUUGUAAACCUCUUUCAGCAGGGACGAAGCGCAAGUGACGGUACCUGUAGAAGAAGGACCGGCCAACUACGUGCCAGCAGCCGCGGUAAUACGUAGGGUCCGAGCGUUGUCCGGAAUUACUGGGCGUAAAGAGCUCGUAGGUGGUUUGUCGCGUUGUUCGUGAAAACUCACAGCUUAACUGUGGGCGUGCGGGCGAUACGGGCAGACUGGAGUACUGCAGGGGAGACUGGAAUUCCUGGUGUAGCGGUGGAAUGCGCAGAUAUCAGGAGGAACACCGGUGGCGAAGGCGGGUCUCUGGGCAGUAACUGACGCUGAGGAGCGAAAGCGUGGGGAGCGAACAGGAUUAGAUACCCUGGUAGUCCACGCCGUAAACGGUGGGUACUAGGUGUGGGUUUCCUUCCUUGGGAUCCGUGCCGUAGCUAACGCAUUAAGUACCCCGCCUGGGGAGUACGGCCGCAAGGCUAAAACUCAAAGGAAUUGACGGGGGCCCGCACAAGCGGCGGAGCAUGUGGAUUAAUUCGAUGCAACGCGAAGAACCUUACCUGGGUUUGACAUGCACAGGACGCCGGCAGAGAUGUCGGUUCCCUUGUGGCCUGUGUGCAGGUGGUGCAUGGCUGUCGUCAGCUCGUGUCGUGAGAUGUUGGGUUAAGUCCCGCAACGAGCGCAACCCUUGUCCUGUAUUGCCAGCAGCACCCUCGGGUGGCUGGGGACUUGCGGGAGACUGCCGGGGUCAACUCGGAGGAAGGUGGGGAUGACGUCAAAUCAUCAUGCCCCUUAUGUCCUGGGCUGCACGCAUGCUACAAUGGCCGGUACAGAGGGCUGCGAUGCCGUGAGGCGGAGCGAAUCCCGGAAAGCCGGUCUCAGUUCGGAUCGGGGUCUGCAACUCGACCCCGUGAAGUCGGAGUCGCUAGUAAUCGCAGAUCAGCAACGCUGCGGUGAAUACGUUCCCGGGCCUUGUACACACCGCCCGUCACGUCACGAAAGUCGGUAACACCCGAAGCCCGCGGCCUAACCCCGUUUGGGGAGGGAGCGGUCGAAGGUGGGGCUGG
Molecule: ribosomal RNA, 1248 nt
Filed under: uncultured Actinomycetes bacterium
Lineage: Bacteria; Bacillati; Actinomycetota; Actinomycetes
Description: bacterial SSU rRNA
Rfam family: Bacterial small subunit ribosomal RNA
Source: RNAcentral